Molecule: non-coding RNA, 592 nt
Organism: Manis javanica (Malayan pangolin)
Lineage: Eukaryota; Metazoa; Chordata; Mammalia; Pholidota; Manidae
Source: RefSeq, a predicted model, not a curated record
AAAAAAAAAAAACACAGAAAGAAAAGAAAAGAAAAAAAAACUCCUCUGGUCGGCUCUGCAACUGGGCAUGCUCAGUGUGGCAGGCGCUUCCGCGUGCGGGUUCCGCUCGCCGCGUUUUCCGAGCGGCCGCCGGGCGGACCUGGCGUGGGGCUGGAGACGGGGCCGCGGUCCGGCAAGGACGGGCUGGGCCGGGACGUCCGAGGGUCACAAGAACAUAACCAAUCAGCAAAGGCCGCAGUCCAGGAAGUGACUUGUUCAGUAUGCAGGAAGGCUGCAGAAGAAGGGAAAGCUCCAUGCAACCUCUCCAGACCCGUUGCCAGCCCAUGUAAUUACCUAUUGAUAUGGAGAUGGACUACUUCUCUCCACCCCUUGGAAAUACCUAUUGAUAUGGAGAUGUACUAAAUCCAGAUCUCUGUCCUACCCUGAUGGUCAUGUGCAGCUGUUUCAUCAUGCACGUGUGUGGGGUGAACUAACGUAAGUGGCAAGGACAGAGUUCCUGAGUUCCGGAGUCAGUGGGCACCACCAGAGCUACCAUCAACAGAGUGCUUAUCUAAAGACAUGUUGUAAUUGCCUGCAUCCCCCUUUGUCUUAU